This 433-nucleotide ribosomal RNA is filed under the name uncultured bacterium. Its description in RNAcentral is "partial 16S ribosomal RNA". It matches the Rfam family "Bacterial small subunit ribosomal RNA", at positions 29 to 507 of the family's 1533-position model. The record is from RNAcentral.
AACGAACGCUGGCGGCAUGCCUAACACAUGCAAGUCGAACGAGACCUUCGGGUCUAGUGGCGCACGGGUGCGUAACGCGUGGGAACCUGCCCUUAGGUUCGGAAUAACUCCCCGAAAGGGGUGCUAAUACCGGAUAAGGUCUUCGGACCAAAGAUUUAUCGCCUUUGGGUGGGCCUUCGUUGAAUUAGCUAGUUGGUAGGGUAAAAGCCUACCAAGUCGACGAUCCAUAGCUGGUCUGAGAGGAUGAUCAGCCACACUGGGACUGAGACACGGCCCAGACUCCUACGGGAGGCAGCAGUGGGGAAUAUUGGACAAUGGGCGAAAGCCUGAUCCAGCAAUGCCGCGUGAGUGAUGAAGGCCUUAGGGUUGUAAAGCUCUUUUAACCGGGAUGAUAAUGACAGUACCAGGAGAAUAAGCCCCGGCUAACUACGUG